This 330-nucleotide ribosomal RNA is filed under the name uncultured eukaryote. RNAcentral's name for it is "partial 18S ribosomal RNA". It matches the Rfam family "Eukaryotic small subunit ribosomal RNA", at positions 1470 to 1796 of the family's 1831-position model. The record is from RNAcentral.
CCCUUAGAUGUUCUGGGCCGCACGCGCGCUACACUGAUGCAUUCAACGAGCCUAUCCUUGACCGACAGGUCCGGGUAAUCUUUGAAUCUGCAUCGUGACGGGGAUAGAUUAUUGCAAUUAUUAAUCUUCAACGAGGAAUGCCUAGUAAGCGCGAGUCAUAAGCUCGCGUUGAUUACGUCCCUGCCCUUUGUACACACCGCCCGUCGCUACUACCGAUUGAACGGUUUAGUGAGGGCCUCGGAUUGGUCUCGGCCCGCUCUUUACCGGGCGGCGCCGUUGGUCGAGAAGACGCUCGAACUUGAUCGUUUAGAGGAAGUAAAAGUCGUAACA